Molecule: long non-coding RNA, 7743 nt
Filed under: Solanum lycopersicum (tomato)
Lineage: Eukaryota; Viridiplantae; Streptophyta; Magnoliopsida; Solanales; Solanaceae
Description: long non-coding RNA (SLYC_LNC000796)
Source: RNAcentral
UUGAAAUUUGAGAAUGCCAAAGCAUAUGGGCAUUAGCUGCUAUAUUAUUGACUUGAAUUCCUUGUGUGAUUGUGUUUUAUUUAUUUCACCCGUAUAGUUGUGAUAAUUGAGGUGGUUAUGUAUUAUGUUCAUAUUGAUUGAUUGAGAUGCAUCAUCAUCCCCUCUAUUGAAAUAAUAUUGUGCACAUGAAUAGACAUGAGGCUGAGUAUAAGUUGGGCACGUGGAGAUCGUCCAUCUUGGGGAUGGUGAGAUGUUAAGAUUGUAAUUUGGGCACAUGGAGACCGUCCGUCCGAAAAUUGUUUGAUAUUAUGAUAGUGCGUUGAGAUCGUCCGCAAAGACACGUGGAGAUCGUCCGUGUCGGUAUAUGUACCUCGCGAGUCCCCCAUGGGUCAUGAACUCUCGAUGUAUUUCCGAGGAGUAUCAUGUAUAUAUGGUUGAGUGUUUAGUGGGUAUUCUGAGACAAUUCAUUACAUGGUGUUAUAUUGCAUUGCAUUUCAUCACAUCAUUUAUUUGAUGCUUAUAUGUUUUGGUUGGCAUUUGGAAAAUACUUGAUUUUGAUUACCUUUAUUGAUGAAACCUAAAUAGUGAGUGUAAUAUAUAUAUAUACUUAUAUAAUGUACGAUUUUUUUUAGAUAAACUCCCGUCAGUACUUCUUCAUUGUCGUUCAAUGAGACAUACUGGGUACACGUGGUUUCGUACUCAUACUACGCUAGCUGCACUCUUUGUGGUGCAGAUUCGAUUCCGGGUACGAGCAUAUCUCAUGGAGCAAAUUGAGUCCGGCUUGAAGUUCUUGGAGUUGUGGUGAGCUGUUUGGCUGUUCCGUGGCCCACACCUCCCUCUAUCUUUACGUAUUCUGUUAUUUAGUAUUUAGAAAGGAUAUCCCUUAAGUGAGAUUUGUUAUUUUAGUUUCAGACUUGCAUCGUAUUCUAGAAGCUCUUGUACUUAAGACACCAAUUCUUGGGGUGAUAUAUUUUAGCUUCCGCAUUUCGUACUUAUAAGGAACUCAAUGUUGGAGAUUCUUUCUAAGUGUUAGUCUGUUUUUUACUCAUUUAUUGGUUUUGUUGGGUUAAUAUGUUGGGUUGGCUUACCUAUUAGUUGGGAACAUAGGUGCCAUCACGACUUGAAAAUUUGGGUCGUGACAAAUUUGGUAUCAGAGCCCUAGAUUCAUCAGUCUCAAGAGUACAAGAGCAAUGUCUAGUAGAGUCAUGCGGAUCGGUAUGAAGACGUCCAUACCUAUCUUCGAGAGGCUAUAGGAAAUUUAGGACAUAUUCUGUUCUUUUAUUCAUUAUUGUGCACUCUUUACCUUGUAGAAAUUCUAAUCUUGAUAUCUCAUUCUCUCUCAGAUGGCAAGGAAUUGUACAUCGGCAAGUGGUGGAUAGGAUCGUAUUCCUGCGCCUGCUUGUGGGAACACUGUCCGAGGUAGAGGUAGGAGACGAGCUCGAGGUCAUUGUGGGGCCAUGUUGGAGCACCUGUGGAUGUUCAAGUACCAGUAGCUACCCAGGGUCGUGAUAGGACCGUACCUCCUAAUGCAGAGGUUAUUAAUGGGGAUGUGCAAGAUCGUGUCGAGGGGGAUGGGCCAGCUCAGGCUCAAACCAGUACUAUUGUUUCCCCAGUGCUUCAAGAUACCCUGGCUCGUAUGUUAGGGAUCCUAGAGGGGAUUGCCAGGCAGGAGCUGUGCCUGUCACUUCUGAUGGCUCACAGACCCGUGUUUGAGGUCAAAUUCCAGAUCCGAUAGUUUCUCCAGAUUCUCAGACUCCCAGGACUCAGCCAACUGCCGCUGUAGCUCCUUGUUUGGAUAGUAUGGACUUUCCAGAUAUGACAUCACAUUUGGUGAACAGACCUUCUAUGACUAUUGAUGAGCAAAAGAUGUUUGGGAGGUUCAGACUAAUGAAUCCUCCUACUUAUACUGGUUACUUAGCUGAGGAUGCAUAUGAGUUUAUAGUUAGUUGUCAUGAGAGGUUGCAUAAUCUUGGAUUAGUGGAGUCUCAUGGAGUUGACUACACAGCGUUUCAGAUGACUGGCUCAGCUAAGCAGUGGUGGAGGGAUUAUAUUAGUAGUAGGCUAGUUGGAUCUCAUCCACUAUCCUGGACUGAGUUUACUCAGGUAUUUCUAUCCAAAUUUGUUCCACGCAGUGAGAGGGAGCGCAAGAGGGCCGAGUUUUAGGGUUUGCAGCAAAAUGGAAUGUCAGUUGCAGAGUAUGAGGGUAAAUUUCAUGCCUUGGCUAGGCAUGCUUCGAUGAUACUUCCCACAGAGGCUGAGAGAGUGAGGAGGUUUGUUAAGGGGAUGAUUAUUCCAAUUCGUCUAGGAGUUUCUCAGGUUGCUGCUUCUGGUGUUCCAUUCCAGAAAGUGGUAGAUGCUGCUAAGGAGUUUGAGAUGAUUCGACGUGAGGGAUUUGAGCAGCGAGAGGGUGAUUAUUGAGGUGAUUAUGGUGGUGCUCCGCCUAGGAUUCGGGGUUACUUGGGCAGAGGUUAUCACCCUCAGUCCAGCAGACCCAUUCAUGCUGCUAUACCAGCGUCUCAGGCUGGUUACGCUGGGCAUAACUCUUCGAGCUCGGUACAUACUUCGCAGGGUUCAUCUUCUAGACCUGUAGUUCGUGGAGGGCAUUCUGGUCAUUCAGGUUCCUCUCAUCAGCCUGCGUCUCGUAGGGGUUGCUUUUAGUCUGGUGAUAUGGGACACUUUGUGAGAGGCUUCCCUAGGAUCAGAAGUGGUGGCUUACAUCAGGGUUCUCAGGCUUUGACUUCCAGGGCUGCACAACCUCUAGCUAGGGGUGGUUCUCAUUCAGGUAGAGGUGGUUCUCCUUCUUGUAGAGGUGGUGGUCGUGGAGGUUCACAAUCUGAUGGAGGUCGUUCUCACUGCUAUGCUUUUCCAGGUAGGCCAGAGGCUGAGGCUUCAGAUGCUGUUACCACAAGUAUUAUUUCGGUUUGUCAUCGAUCAGCUACUGUAUUAUUCGAUCCAAGCUUUACUUAUUCUUAUGUGUCCACAUAUUUUUCUCCUAGUCUAGAUAUAUCAUGUGAGUGUCUUGAUUUGCCGAUACGUGUCUCUACUCCUGUCGGGGAUUCUGUGGUUGUAGAUUGGGUGUAUCGAUUAUGUACCAUUACCUUGAUUGGGUACGACACUCAUGCACAUUUAAAGGUCUUAGAUAUGAUAGAUUUUGAUAUGAUUCUUGGUAUGGAUUGGUAAUCUUCUUAGCAAGCAAUUUUAAAUUGUCAUGCCAAGACCAUCACUUUAGAUAUGCCUGAAAUUCCUAUAGUAGAAUGGAGAGGUACUCUUAGCCAUCUUUCUAAGGGCGUGAUAUCAUUCCUUAAGGCUCGUUAGUUGGUACAGAGAGGAUGUUUGGCGUACUUGUCCCACAUUCGAGAUACUAGUAUUGAGACUCCUGUGCUUGAGUCUAUUCCUGUAGAGAGUGAAUUUUUCAGAAGUAUUUCCAACCGAUUUGCCACGUCUUCCAGCAGAUCGUGAUAUUGAUUUUUGUAUUUAUGUGGAGCCAGGCACUCGGCCUAUUUCCAUUCCUCCUUAUCGUAUGGCACCAGCUGAAUUGAAGGAGUUGAAGGAGCAGUUGCAGGAUUUGUUGAGCAAAGGUUUUAUUAGACCAAGUGUUUCUCCUUGGGUUGCUCUAGUGUUAUUUGUGAAGAAGAAAGAUGGAUCUAUGCGUAUGUGUAUUGACUAUCGGUAGUUGAACAAGGUAACCAUCAAAAAUAAGUAUUCGAUACCUCGUAUUGAUGAUUUAUUUGAUCAGUUGCAGGGUGCUUCAGUUUUCUCCAAAAUUGACUUGAGAUCUGGCUAUCAUCAGCUGAAGGUUAGGGCGGAUGAUAUCCCUAAGACGGCUUUUCGAACACGUUAUGGUCAUUAAGAGUUUUUGGUGAUGUCUUUCGGACUUACUAAUGCCCCAGCAGCUUUUAUGGACUUGAUGAAUGGAGUGUUCAGACCGUAUUUAGAUUCCUUUGUUAUUGUCUUCAUAGAUGAUAUAUUGAUAUACUCACGCACUAAGGAGGAAUAUGAGCAUCAUUUGAGGAUUGUUCUUGGAAUUCUAAAGGAGAAGAAGAUUUAUGCAAAGUUUUCAAAGUGUGUGUUUUGGUUUAGUUCGGUAGCAUUCUUGGAACAUGUAGUGUCAAAGGAGGGGAUCAUGGUGGAUCCUAAGAAGAUUGAGACGGUUAGAGAUUUGGUCAGGCCUACUUCAGUUACUGAGAUUCGAAGUUUCUUGGGCCUUGCAGGUUAUUAUCGACGGUUUGCUGAGGGUUUAUCAUCCAUUGCAUCUCCAUUAACUAGAUUGACACAGAAGGAGGUGACUUUUCAGUGGUCUGACGAAUGUGAGGUUAGUUUCCAAAAGCUCAAGAUUUUAUUGACUACUGCUCCGAUUUUGAUCCUACCCGUGGAGGGAGAGGGUUUUGUUGUAUAUUGUGAUGCUUCUCGGAUUGUUCUUGGUUGUGUGUUGAUGCAGAAAGGAAGGGUGAUAGCUUAUGCUUCGAGGCAGUUAAAGGUUCAUGAGAAGAACUACCCUAUUCAUGAUUUACAGUUGGCGGUUGUUGUGUUUGCAUUAAAGAUUUCGAGGCAUUAUCUUUAUGGCGUGCAUUAUGAGGUGUUCACGGAUCAUCGUAGCCUCCAAUAAAUAUUCAAUCAGAGAGAUCCAAAUUUGAGGCAGCGAAGAUGGUUGGAGUUGCUCAAGGACUACGACAUGACUAUUCUUUAUCAUCCAGGCAAGGCAAAUAUUGUAGCAGAUGCCUUGAGUCGAAAGGCGGUAAGUAUGGAAAGUCUAGCCAUGUUACAGGUCGACGAGCGUUAUUUAGCUAGGGAUGUCCAAUCCUUGGCCAAUAGCUUUGUGAGACUUGAUAUUUCAAAAUCUUGUAAGGUGUUGGCUUAUAUGGAGGCUAGGUCAUCCUUGUUGGAGCAGAUUCGGGCUCAACAGUUUGAUGAUGGUGAUUUAUGUAAGAUUAGGGACAAGGUGUUAAAAGGAGAAGCCAAGGCUGCAAUUCUUGAUAGUGAAAGAGUUUUGAGGAUUAAAGGUCGUAUCUGUGUUCCUUGUACAGGUGAUUUGACUUGAUUAAUCAUGCAGGAGGCCCAUAGUUUGAGGUAUUCUAUUAAUCCGGGGGCUACUAAGAAGUAUCGUGACUUGAAGCAACACUAUUGGUGGUGUCGUAUGAAGAGGGACAUAGUAGAUUUUGUAUCUCGAUGUUUGAAUUGUCAGCAAGUGAAGUAUGAACACCAAAAGCCUUGAGGUGUGACUUAGAGGAUGCCCAUACCUGAGUGGAAGUGGGAGCGCAUUGCUAUGGACUUUGUGGUAGGGUUGCCACGUACCUUGGGUUAGUUUGAUGCUAUAUGGGUCAUCGUGGAUCGACUGACUCAGUCUGCACACUUUGUACCAGUUUAGACUACCUAUAACUCAGAGAAGUUAGCCAAGAUCUGUAUUCAAGAGAUAGUUCGUUUGCAUGGGGUUCCUAUAUCUAUUAUUUCAUAUCGUGGCACCCAAUUUACAUCUAAUUUCUGGCAGUCAAUGCAGAAAGAGUUGGGCACUCGGGUGGAUCUUAGUACAACCUUUCACCCUCAGACUGAUGGUCAGUCUGAGCGUACUAUUCAGGUUCAUGAGGACAUGUUGCGGGCGUGUGUGAUUGACUUUGGUGGUCAGUGGGAUCUGUUCUUUCCUUUAGCGAAGUUUGCUUACAAUAAUAGUUAUCAUUCGAUCAUUCAGAUGACAUCAUUUGAGGCUUUGUAUGGUAGGAGAUGUCGAUCUCCAAUUGGCUGGUUUGAUGCAUUUGAGGUUAAACCUUGGGGUAUAGAUUUGUUGAGGGAGUCCUUGGACAAGGUCAAGUUGAUCCAAAAUAGACUUCUCAUAGCUCAGAGUAGGCAAAAGAGUUAUGCAGAUCGAAAGAGUCGUGAUUUAGAGUUUAUGGUUAGAGAGAGGGUUUUAUUGAAGGUUUCACCCAUGAAGUGUGUGAUGAGGUUUGGAAAGAAGGGCAAGUUAAGUCCAAGGUAUAUUGGUCCUUUCGAGAAUGUUGAGCGUAUUGGUAAGGUGGCGUGUCAGUUGGCUUUGCCACCUGGUUUGUCAAGUGUCCAUCCUGUAUUUCAUAUUUCAAUGCUUAAGAAGUAUCAUCACGGUGGUGAUCAUGUGAUUCAAUGGGAUUCAGUGUUACUUGAUCAGAAUUUGACUUUUGAGGAAGAGCCGAUCACCAUUUUGGAUAGGCAAAUUCGGAAGCUAAGGUCCAAGGAGAUUGCUUUAGUAAAGGUGCAGUGGAAGCAUCGUCCUGUGGAGGAGGCUACAUGGGAGAGAGAGUCAGACAUGAGGAGCAAAUAUCCUCAUCUUUUUUAGCGUUCAGGUUAGCUCUUUUCUUUUCCCGUUCGAGGACGAACGUUUGUUUAAGUUGUAGGUGAUGUAACGACCCGCUAGGUCGUUUUGAGAACUAGGACUAGUUCGACUCCUUUUGAAAAUUCAACAGGUAUUUUAAACUAUUUGAUAACUAGGAGUACUUAGUUGAUACAUAUAUCUAUAUUAUAAUUAAUAUACUUGAAUAGCAAUUUGGUCAAAUUCAUAUUUAUUUUUUUUAAUAACCCUUACCAUUUGACUAUAUAAUUAAAACAGAUUAGUUAGGUUAUUUUAGAAGAAAAAAAAUAAUAAUAAAAGUUGGAAAUUUCCUGGAGGCGAGAUGCACCAAACGGCCGCGACGAACAUUGAAUUCCUAGGUAAACUUAUCCGAAUUAAUUAACGUUUAUAUAUAAUUGUAUGGUGCAGAUGAUUUAAUUGUAGGAUAGUACUAAUGCAUAUUUUAUUAAAUUAAAAGUGACAUAGGUUGAUUGGGAUAAUGAUGAUCAAUGAUUACUUAAUCAUUGGAACAUUGAAUUUCUCAUGCAUUUAUAUUCAUAAUUCUUAAAAAUAAAAUGAAAUAGGAUACUUGGCAGUAUCCAUUUGAAGAAAAGGAAAAAAAACCGUGUUCUCGGCAUUACUGUGUUUCUUGAUUUUCUUAAUUAAUUCUUAAUUUUAUUUAUUUUAUUAAAUUAUGAUACUAGUUUUUGAUAUAUUGAGAUAGAUAAUUAAUUAUUAGGUAUAUAUUAUAUGAUUUAACAUUAAAUUUUAGGAUAUUUGGAGAGGUUAAAGAUAAGUUCUUGGCUUGAAAUUUAACAAGUACGAUAAUUUUGGCAUACAAAUUAUAUAAAGAUUUGAUGCUUGAUUAGAAGUAUGAGUGAAAAUUUUUGGGUCUAUGAUAGGCACAUAAUAAUAUGAAUGUCUACAAACUCGCUUAUUUAUGAAUAUUGCAUCAUUGGUAGAUCGUGAACAUUACGAAACUUUGCAAAAACGGAAGGAACUAUCUUGAAGAUUCGUGACACGAAUUCGGCACUUGAGGUAUGUUAAGACUUUUAGACUUGUUGAAGGACGUUUUCCUAAUUAAAGAUUUAAAAAUCAAAAUAGACAAUGGAGUAAAGGGGAAAAAAUGGUGGUCUCGUAUCAAUGGUGUGACGGGCAUUGGUAAGAGUGCCGGUGUUAUAUAAAGGAAAAUUUCUAUUAUAGAAUGUGGAUUGAAAUUUGAGAAUGCGAAAGCAUAUGGGCAUUAGCUGAUAUAUUAUUGACGUGGAUUCCUUGUGUAAUUGUGUUUUAUUUAUUUUACCCGUAUAGUUGUGAUAAUUGAGGUGGUUAUGUAUUAUGUUCAUAUUGAUUGAUUGAGAUGCAUUAUCAUCCCCUCUAUUGAAAUAAUAGUGUGCACAUGCAUAGACAUGAGACUGAGUAUAAGUUGGGCACGUGAAGAUUGUCCGUGCUGG